Paramuricea clavata is the source of this 578-nucleotide non-coding RNA. The record is from the annotation of a GenBank genome assembly. Lineage: Eukaryota; Metazoa; Cnidaria; Anthozoa; Malacalcyonacea; Plexauridae.
CUGGAUUCAAGAUGGCCGCUUACUUGGGAGCGUAUUUGGAAAUAAUUUCAUCGAUUUUGUGCAUAUUUUCUUCAUUUUUUCGAUGAAACUUAAUAGUUUUCCCAUCAGCCAGACUUUAUAAACCGAAAGUUAUCUUAUAUGAGUAAACUUGGAAGGCUGGAAGCCUGAAAUAGACGACAAAAGUUCACAAUUUUCACAAAGUUGGAACUUCGUAAAUUGCAACAAUAAUAUUCGCAAGUUGCUGUUUAUUUGGAUGUAAAUAGAAUCUGCUUAAUGGGACAAGGGUUUAAUAGAGCUCCUUGCCUUGCUGGCUAAUGAUAUUUUAAAAGCUCUCAGGACAGCUGUUAUCUCACAAUAGGUAUUGUACAAUUCAAACACACAGAACAUAUUAAUUUGUAUAAUAGAUAAAUUUGGAAAAGUUAGUUACAUUGUUGCUAUGCAAUUCACAACUUUAAAUAUUCAUGCCUAGUUAGUGUUCUACAGUAGUUCACACAUAGAAUAGAACAGAGGUAACUAAGCAUUUGAUAAGCCCUAUACACUAUAAAAGUCAUUCAUUCAUUCAUGUAGCUAGAUAAUUC